This 363-nucleotide ribosomal RNA is filed under the name uncultured bacterium. Its description in RNAcentral is "bacterial SSU rRNA". It matches the Rfam family "Bacterial small subunit ribosomal RNA", at positions 28 to 384 of the family's 1533-position model. The record is from RNAcentral.
GAUGAACGCUAGCGGCAGGCUUAAUACAUGCAAGUCGAGGGGCAGCAUGACUGUAGCAAUACAGUUGAUGGCGACCGGCAAACGGGUGCGGAACACGUACGCAACCUACCCAAAACUGAGGAAUAGCCCGGGGAAACCCGGAUUAAUACUUCGUAACAUAAUUGAAUGGCAUCAUUUAAUUAUUAUAGCUCCGGCGGUUUUGGAUGGGCGUGCGCCUGAUUAGGUUAGNGGUAGGGUAACGGCCUACCAAGCCAACGAUCAGUAACUGGUGUGAGAGCACGACCAGUCACACGGGCACUGAGACACGGGCCCGACUCCUACGGGAGGCAGCAGUAAGGAAUAUUGGUCAAUGGACGCAAGUCU